UCUUAAACUAAAUUUGGACAAAUCGUGUUAGUCGAUUCGAUAUAUUAUAAUUAUAAGUAAGUGAUUAUUACGCAUAUGCUUUAGCCGAAUUCGUGGUACAAAAGUGAAUUCUUCAAAAGAAUAACAAAAAUCCAUUCAGCCUCGAGUACUUUUUUACGUAGAGACAUUUAUUAUUGUGGACACUUUGAAGACUCAGUGCAAAAUUGUUUUAGUGAACAUACUUGAAAGAAAAUAUUGGCCGAUUUACGUCUGUUCAUGUUCAUGUAUGCUAUAUGUAUGAGAAUUGGUUCAGAAACGGAAGAAACAGUUAUUAAGUAGAAGAAAGAAGGAUAGAGGCAGAAGUUGGAACAUUGAAUACAGGAACAUAAUUUCUAAUUUUUGCAAAUUAACCAGUACCAGUUAUUUGUCAUUGAAACGGCUCAACAUACAGUUUCUCCAGACACAGUACGAUUACACUUUCUUCUACUUGGUGUUUUUCGUUGGGAGUGAAAUUCUUAAGAUUUACUUUAAAAUCAGUGGAAACUUUUAAAUAGUAACCAUGCACGAGGCCGAAUCCUGGUCUUUUCCUCCGAAGCAGGCUCUCUACGAUCCAACACUUGAAAGAGAUGCUUGCGGUGUUGGAUUCAUUGUUGCAAUAGAUGGGAAAAAGUCGCACAAAAUCGUUCGCGAUGCAGAAAUUCUCUCGGCACGUAUGAACCACCGUGGUGCUUGCGCCUGCGAUAACGAUACCGGUGACGGGGCCGGUGUUCUUUGUGCAAUUCCACACGAGUAUUACGCCGAUGAAUUGCGCGAACGACAAAAUGUCGAAUUACCUCAAUUCGGUCGUUAUGCCACCGGUAUUCUAUUUCUUGAUCAAAAUUCUCAUCAAGAAGCUGAGGCUGUUUUUGAAAAGUUAGUUGAAGAGUGCAAUUUAAGGCUAAUUUGUUGGCGAGAUGUUCCAACAGAUAACACAAGAAUUGGCCAAGUGGCACGAAAAUGCGAACCUUACAUGCGUCAAGUCUUUGUCACUGGUGAUCAAGACGAUAUUAAUCUUGAACGGCAAGUUUUUAUUUUGAGAAAAAGAUCGUCUCAUUCCAUACCACGACCAGGGAUUAGAUACUAUAUAUGCUCACUUUCUAUACGAACGGUUGUUUAUAAAGGACAAUUGACGGCGGACCAGUUGUGGCUCUAUUUCCUAGAUUUGAAGUCUCCAAAAUUUGAAACCUAUCUGGCAUUAGUUCACACAAGAUUUUCAACAAAUACAUUUCCUAGCUGGGAAAGGGCGCAUCCUCUUCGAUUGUUAGCGCAUAAUGGUGAAAUCAACACUUUAAGAGGAAACGUAAAUUUAAUGAAGGCACGAGAAGGAGUGAUGAGUAGCAAGGUUUAUGGGGAAAAAUUGAAACAACUUUAUCCAGUGGUAGAACCGAACCUCUCGGACUCAGGAGCCGUUGAUUGCGUUUUGGAAUUUUUAGUAAUGGUAGGACAGCGGUCUUUGCCAGAGGCAGUAAUGACAAUGGUACCAGAAGCAUGGCAAAACGAUUUAACGAUGGCAUCUGAAAAGCGCGAUUUUUACCAUUGGGCUGCUUGUGCGAUGGAACCUUGGGAUGGCCCUGCUCUUUUAACCUUUACAGAUGGACGCUACGUUGGUGCUAUUUUAGACAGAAACGGCCUGCGCCCAUCGCGCUUCUACGUCACUAAGGAUAAUAUGAUGGUGAUGGCGUCCGAAGUGGGCGUCUAUGACACUCCGUCCAACAAUGUAGUCUUAAAGAGCCGUUUGAAACCCGGCAGAAUGCUACUGGUUGAUACGCAUGAGAAAAGGAUUAUAGAAGAUGUUGAACUGAAGUUGCAAAUUGCUAGAAGUAGACCACAUUCCAAAUGGCUAAAAGAUCAGAUUACAAUGGAAGAGUUACGUGCUGCUGACGUUGAUUAUAAAAAGACACUAAGCACUGUUGAAAAUGGUUCGAUCGUGGACAAAGAAGUAGCUAAAAGAAAAGCAAUGAAUGAUGCAAAUCCAAUAUCUACUGUAAAUCGAGUUUGGGGAGGCGAUAAAAGAUUAUCCCUCUAUGGAUACACCCUCGAAACCAUUAAUUUGCUUCUUCUGCCGAUGAUGCAAUCUAAGAAAGAACCACUGGGUUCUAUGGGUAAUGAUGCGCCAUUAGCUUGUCUUUCUCAAUUUCAACCCCUUAUCUACGACUAUUUUAAGCAACUGUUUGCUCAGGUGACAAAUCCUCCGAUAGACCCUUUCAGAGAAAAAAUCGUAAUGUCAAUGCUUUGUCCUAUUGGGCCAGAAAGUAAUAUGCUUGAGCCAAACGAACUGCAAGUACAUAGAUUAUUUUUACGACAACCAAUACUUUCCUUGGAUGAUCUCGAUAUAAUCAAACGAACGAAUUAUCGUGGUUGGAAAACUAAAAUAAUCGAUGCGACAUAUCCUGUGCAAGAUGGUCCACCUGGAUUAGUGAAUACACUAAAUCGUGUCAAUCAGGAGGCUAAUCAAGCUGCAAAAGAAGGUUAUCAAUUUAUCGUUCUAUCCGAUCGGCUGAGUAGCUCGGAAAGAGUGCCUGUAAGCAGCUUGUUAGUCUUGGGCGCAGUGCAUCACAAUCUAAUCGAAGAACGACAACGUAUGAAAGUUGGUCUCAUUGUAGAAACUGCUGAAGCUAGAGAAAUACAUCAUAUAUGUCUGCUACUUGGCUAUGGAGCGGACGCCAUUUGUCCGUACUUAGUAUUUGAAAUGGCAAGAAAUCUUCGUAUGGAUGGCGUACUUGAUUCGUCAUUAACCGAUAAUGCUUUAUGUGCGAACUAUGCGGAAGCAAUGGAUAGAGGAAUAGCUAAAGUAAUGGCAAAAAUGGGAAUCUCUACGUUACAAUCGUAUAAAGGAGCUCAAAUAUUCGAAGCAGUCGGUUUGUCAGACGAAGUCAUCAAUAAAUGCUUUAAGGGUACACAAUCUCGUAUUGGUGGAGUUACUUUUGAUAUUUUGGCAAAGGAAGCAUUUGAAAGACAUCAAAUUACUUAUUGCACAAAACCUAUGGAUAUGCUUGUUAUUCGCAAUCCAGGAGUCUAUCAUUGGCGAUCUGGUGGAGAAAAACACAUAAACGAUCCUGAUAGUAUUGCUAGCUUGCAGGAUUAUGUAAAUUCUAAGAACUGGAACGCUUAUGAAAAAUAUCGAAAAACUACAAUGGAAAUGAUCAGGGCAUGCACCUUACGUGGUCAAUUGGAAUUAGUACAAAAACCAGAAAAAUCCAUACCCAUUGAAGAGGUUGAACCAGCAUCUGAGAUUGUGAAACGAUUUGCAACCGGAGCUAUGAGUUUUGGAAGUAUUUCUAUAGAAGCACAUACAACAUUAGCGAUUGCGAUGAAUCGUAUUGGCGGUAAAUCGAAUACCGGCGAAGGUGGUGAAAAUGCUGACAGGUAUCUGAAUCAGGAUCCAGAGUUUAACAAACGAUCAUCUAUUAAGCAAGUUGCCAGCGGUCGUUUUGGUGUCACUUCGAGUUAUUUAGCAAAUGCUGAUGAUCUUCAAAUCAAAAUGUCACAAGGUGCGAAGCCAGGAGAAGGCGGCGAGUUGCCUGGUUAUAAGGUUACUGCUGAGAUUGCUGCAACUAGACAUUCUGUACCUGGUGUAGGUCUAAUUUCACCACCACCGCAUCACGACAUUUAUUCGAUCGAAGAUCUUGCGGAAUUAAUUUAUGAUUUGAAAUGUGCAAAUCCAAAUGCUCGUAUUUCUGUCAAGUUAGUGUCAGAAGUAGGAGUAGGUGUAGUUGCAUCAGGUGUUGCAAAGGGGAAAGCAGAGCAUAUCGUAAUAUCUGGCCAUGAUGGUGGAACUGGUGCUAGUACUUGGACAGGAAUAAAAUCCGCUGGUUUACCUUGGGAAUUAGGAGUUGCGGAGACCCAUCAAAUUUUAACCUUAAAUAAUCUUCGAUCACGUGUCAUUGUACAAGCAGAUGGACAAAUGCGUACAGGAUUUGACGUAGUGGUUGCGGCUCUUUUAGGUGCCGACGAAUUUGGCUUUAGUACUGCGCCAUUAAUUUCCAUGGGUUGUACUAUGAUGAGAAAAUGUCAUUUAAACACUUGUCCCGUGGGUGUUGCAACACAAGAUCCAAAACUUCGAAAAAAAUUUGAAGGAAAGCCAGAACAUGUUAUUAAUUUUUUCUUCGCAUUGGCAGAAGAGGUACGUUCUCACAUGGCCAGCCUUGGAUUACGUAAAUUUCAAGAUCUAAUAGGUCGUACGGAUUUGUUGAAAGUUCGCGAAGAUAUCUCAGUAGAGAAGGCUAAAACAUUAAAGCUCGAUAAUAUUUUGCGUAAUGCACUUGAACUUCGUCCUGGAGUAAAUAUUCAGGGAGGAUCAAUGAAACAAGACUUUCAACUAGAAAACAGAUUGGACAAUCAUGUCAUUGAAUUAGCCAUGGAUUUAUUGAAAGGAAAACAGAAACGUGUUGAUAUUGAAUUAAAUAUUAAUAACGAAUGUAGAGCAUUUGCGGCGACAUUAAGCUACCAUAUUUCAAAAUUAUAUGGCGAAGUUGGUUUACCUGAAGGUAGUAUCAACAUAAAAAUGAAAGGUUCUGCAGGUCAGAGCUUCUGUGCUUUCAUGACCAAAGGUGUUCAUGUUACUCUCGAGGGAGAUGCCAACGAUUAUGUUGGCAAAGGUUUAUGUGGAGGAGAAAUCGUUAUAUAUCCACCAAAAGAUUCUACUUUCAAGUCCGAAAAUAACGUAAUCGUUGGUAAUGUUUGCCUUUAUGGUGCAACUUCUGGCAAAGCAUAUUUUCGAGGAAUCGCUGCUGAAAGAUUUAGCGUCCGUAACAGUGGCGCCAUAGUAGUAGUCGAAGGUGUCGGUGAUCAUGGGUGCGAAUAUAUGACUGGCGGCUGUGCAGUUAUUCUGGGUCUUACUGGUCGAAAUUUCGCAGCUGGAAUGUCCGGUGGGAUAGCUUAUGUCUUAGAUGUAGACGGAUCGUUCAAGAGUAAAUGUAAUCCUGAAAUGGUAGAAUUGCUUCCUUUAAGUAAGCAAGAAGAUAUUGCAUAUGUGAAACAACUUUUAGAAGAAUUUGUUGAGAAAACUGGUUCUUUAAUAGCUGAAGAUCUUUUGAUGUUGUGGCCUGAACCAACUACACGGUUCGUUAAGGUAUUUCCGUAUGAGUACCAGCGGGCAUUAAAGCAAGUCGAAGAAGCCAAACAAAUACAACCAAUACCGAAUGGAAGUUCUCAGAUGGAAAACAUCCAGAUCAAAGAUAUUGAAGAUGCUAUUGUAGAUACUGAUAUGGAGCAGCAAAAAUUGGAUAAGAUAAGAGGAUUUAUUAAAUAUAGAAGACAAAUGGGAAUUUAUCGGCCAGUUGAAAACCGAAUUACCGAUUGGAAUGAAAUUUAUAACUUUCAAAAGGUUCGCAAAGGAUUACGCGUGCAGGCAGCAAGAUGUAUGGAAUGCGGUGUACCAUUUUGUCAAAGUAGUCAUGGUUGCCCUCUAGGAAAUAUCAUUCCUAAAUGGAAUGAUCUUGUCUUCCAAUCGAAUUGGAAAGAAGCUUUAAAUCAAUUGUUACAAACUAAUAAUUUCCCAGAAUUCACUGGAAGAGUUUGUCCAGCUCCUUGUGAAGGUGCCUGUGUUUUGGGUAUAUCUGAACCAGCAGUUACAAUAAAGAACAUUGAAUGUGCGAUAAUUGAUCACGCAUUUGAACAAGGUUGGAUAGUGCCGCAUCCACCAACAACUAGAACCGGUCGACGAGUAGCAGUAGUUGGCUCAGGUCCGGCUGGUUUGGCGGCAGCUCAUCAAUUAAAUAAGGCAGGCCAUUUGGUGACUGUUUAUGAAAGAAAUGACCGAAUUGGAGGUCUACUGCAAUAUGGUAUUCCGACUAUGAAGUUAUCGAAACAAGUUGUUCAAAGAAGGGUUUCUCUUCUUGCGGCGGAGGGUAUUACAUUUAAGACUGGCGUCGAUGUAGGAAAACAUAUUUCUGCUAAUGAAUUACGGGAACAAUAUGACGCAAUGCUAAUAUGUACUGGCGCAACUUGGCCAAGAGACUUACAAAUACCAGGUCGACACCUUGAAGGAAUUCAUUUUGCUGUAAGCUUUUUGGAAAAUUGGCAAAAGAAUCAAAUGGGGAAUAACGUUCCACUAGAUAUGCGUUUAAUAGCUAAAGAUAAGGAUGUUAUUAUAAUAGGUGGUGGCGAUACUGGUUGUGAUUGUAUAGCUACGUCUUUGCGACAGGGUGCCAAAACGAUUACAACUUUUGAAAUUUUACCCGAACCACCAAACAAAAGAGCGCACGAUAAUCCUUGGCCUCAAUUUCCACGUGUAUUUAAAGUGGAUUAUGGCCAUGAGGAAGUUUCCUUGAAGUUUGGCCGAGAUCCCCGUCAAUUUAGUACAUUGAGUAAAGAGUUUUUAGACGAUGGAAAUGGCCACGUAAGUGGUAUUAAAACAGUGUCAGUAUCGUGGACAAUGGAAAACGGACGUUGGAAAAUGGAAGAGGUUCCUGGAACAGAAAAAAUAUACAAAUGUGACCUAGUUUUACUCGCUAUGGGUUUCUUAGGUCCAGAAAAAUAUAUUGCAACAGAAUUAAAUACGAAAAUGGAUGAAAGAGGUAAUUUCAAAACACCAGUUGGAAAUUACAAGACAAGUUUAGAUGGAAUAUACGCAGCAGGAGAUUGCCGGCGUGGACAAUCCCUGGUAGUUUGGGCAAUCACAGAAGGUAGGCAAGCUGCAAGAGAAAUAGAUCUGGCUUUAAUGGGGGAAACUGGUCUUCCUGUAUCCGGUGGUGUUAUAACUGGUGUUAUGGCUUAAGAUGCAUACGUUCUAAGUGUAGUCGAUCAGAAUUCGGCUAUUUCUUUCUACCCUUCUCGUUCCUACCGCGUUUUUCUUCUCUUUUUUAAACUUUUUCAGUAAUUAAACCGUGCAAAGUAUGCGAUCAGUGUACCGGUAGGAGAAUAAGUAACAUGUAAUGAGCAAGGAAGACAUGCGGUCAAUGCGUGAACAAGGAAAUCAGUAUUAUUUUAUCGUGAGUGUAUAUCGUGAAAGUAUUCGCGAUAUCGAAAAGGUCUUAUCGUCAUGUGUGUUCAUUCACGCAGAAGCUCCAAUUUAAGAACUACAGUAGGAAAAUGACAGCUGCAGUAUGAGAAAUUUGCAUUUUUGUUUCGAGUUGUCAUCUCGUAAAAUAUUUGUUAAUUUCUUAAAAAAAAAAAAAAGAAAAUGGUAUAACUAAGUAAUAGUACUGUAAGUCGAGUUGACUCGAAGAAAUAAUCGUAGAUACAUUGUCGAAUCUACCUCGUAUCUUCUUUUACGUCUUUUGCUUGUUUCAUGAGGUAACUUGAAUUAUUCUAUGUGAUUAAACUGAUUUGUAUAAAAGGUCAUAUAAUACGAUCAAUACAAAUUAAAAAAAAUAAAUGUUUGUUAAAUAUUUCUGUUAUAAUAAAAAUCAAAGUAGAAAAUAUAAAUUGCAUUUCGAGGCUCAUGUUAAAUAAUGUAAAAGUAAUGUUUCGUAUUUAACCUCGUAAUUUUCUUUUUUCGACCUAUGCUUUGUACAUUGUAACAUAUAUACAUGCAUGUGGGUAUGUAUAUAUGUAUCAUUUCUGAGUUUAAGAUAUUUAUUUAUAAAAAAAACACGAACGAUGAUGAUACACAUGUAAUUUCCUUGAUUGUAAAGAAAUUCCCUGCGCCAACAAAUUUUAUUUAUUUGUUGCGCACAUAUUAUUGUACAUUCUAUACGAAGAGAAAAAAAAGAAUACUUCAAGACAAUAAAUAUAUAAAGAAAGAAAUAAAACGUUUAAAGAAUAAAGAAAAAAAGAUGAAUGAAAGAAGAAUAAAUUCAUUAAAUUUGAAAGAAAAUACUACAUAUAAUUGGCUGGAAUAUCAAUUUCUCAGCAUGUUUCAUUUGUUUGCAUCUGACGUUCAAGAACUGAAGUGGCAUGAUUUCCUACAGGACCAAUUAACGGAACAUCAAAUUGGUUAUAUUCGCGAAGAAAUUGUUAGCACAGCAAUCGCAAAUGUGCUUGAAAAGUAUUAUUUCAAAAAGAAACUGUUCCAAUUCAACAGUGAAUGUGCCCGUGUGGUUUGGCUACGGUUGUUCAAUGCGAGUAUCCUUCAUUUUCUAACUUUUCUAAUUUUUACCUACUUCCUCUCUUUUUCUUAUAGUGGAUAUUCUUAAGAUUAGAUCCUUAUUGGAGACAGGAUACAACUGGAAAGGCGAUACAUUUGAUUGUCGAUAUCGAACCGCAACCUUCGUCUGUCGACUCUUGGAUAUUUGGGAAGGUAUCGCAAAUUUCUAUCCAAAAAUCAAUACCUACAUUAACAUGUAUUCCUCUAUUACCAUCGAUAACUGCUACGAAGCCAUUGAAUAGAAUCACGCAAAAGCAACAAACAAAAUUAGGAUAUAUUAACAAAGAAAAAUUAAAACAAAAGAAUAAAGAGGGAACGAUGAUAUCUUCUGAAAUAAAAAAAUCAUGUGAAGUAGUUAAUGAAAGGAAAAAAUCAAAUGGUUACUCGAAAAACGAUAGCUAUUUAUCUAUGCCUAAACAACAUACCAUAGAUUCAACAGAAAGAAUAUAUGAUCAACCAAAUAAUUUCAAAGAAAAGAAUAAGACUGACUUAUUGGUAAAGAUUUCAAAACAAAAUGGCAACAAUAACGAUGAUAGUAAACAGGAAAACAUAACAAAUAUUCGACAAUUGUCGAAAAAUUUAAAACAAAAUAAAAUGAAACUCUUGCCAUGGGAAAAGGAAACAGCAGCGAAGAUACCACUCCAACGAUCAUUGGAGAGGAUAGAGAUCAUGUGCACAAUUUUACCAGAUCACAGCGACUAUCUUGAAACGAACACUUUAAAUGUAAAACGAAUGAAAUAAGUAUGGGUAAAUAAAACAAAUAUUUUUUAUAA
Molecule: RNA transcript, 8820 nt
Organism: Bombus huntii
Lineage: Eukaryota; Metazoa; Arthropoda; Insecta; Hymenoptera; Apidae
Exons: 35
Source: RefSeq, a predicted model, not a curated record